ACAGCAGGGUGUGCGAAGGCGGAAGCAGCCUCUGUUUGGCGUGUACCUCUCCUCAGGGAGGGGAGCAGGGUG
Molecule: non-coding RNA, 72 nt
Filed under: Palpitomonas bilix
Lineage: Eukaryota
Source: RNAcentral